RNAcentral lists this ribosomal RNA (1399 nucleotides) under uncultured bacterium. RNAcentral describes it as "16S ribosomal RNA". It matches the Rfam family "Bacterial small subunit ribosomal RNA". The record is from RNAcentral.
AGAGUUUGAUCCUGGCUCAGGAUGAACGCUAGCUACAGGCUUAACACAUGCAAGUCGAGGGGAAACGACAUCGAAAGCUUGCUUUUGAUGGGCGUCGACCGGCGCACGGGUGAGUAACGCGUAUCCAACCUGCCCACCACUUGGGGAUAACCUUGCGAAAGUAAGACUAAUACCCAAUGAUAUCUCUAGAAGACAUCUGAAAGAGAUUAAAGAUUUAUCGGUGAUGGAUGGGGAUGCGUCUGAUUAGCUUGUUGGCGGGGUAACGGCCCACCAAGGCAACGAUCAGUAGGGGUUCUGAGAGGAAGGUCCCCCACAUUGGAACUGAGACACGGUCCAAACUCCUACGGGAGGCAGCAGUGAGGAAUAUUGGUCAAUGGGCGAGAGCCUGAACCAGCCAAGUAGCGUGCAGGAAGACGGCCCUAUGGGUUGUAAACUGCUUUUAUAAGGGAAUAAAGUGAGUCUUGUGAGACUUUUUGCAUGUACCUUAUGAAUAAGGACCGGCUAACUCCGUGCCAGCAGCCGCGGUAAUACGGAGGAUCCGAGCGUUAUCCGGAUUUAUUGGGUUUAAAGGGAGCGUAGGCGGGCUUUUAAGUCAGUUGUGAAAGUUUGCGGCUCAACCGUAAAAUUGCAGUUGAUACUGGAAGCCUUGAGUACAGUAGAGGCAGGCGGAAUUCGUGGUGUAGCGGUGAAAUGCUUAGAUAUCACGAAGAACUCCGAUUGCGAAGGCAGCUUGCUGGACUGUAACUGACGCUGAUGCUCGAAAGUGUGGGUAUCAAACAGGAUUAGAUACCCUGGUAGUCCACACAGUAAACGAUGGACACUCGCUGUUGGCGAUAUACGGUCAGCGGCUUAGCGAAAGCGUUAAGUGUCCCACCUGGGGAGUACGCCGGCAACGGUGAAACUCAAAGGAAUUGACGGGGGCCCGCACAAGCGGAGGAACAUGUGGUUUAAUUCGAUGAUACGCGAGGAACCUUACCCGGGCUUGAACUGCAGCGGAAUUAUCCGGAAACGGAUAAGCGAGUAAUCGCCGCUGUGGAGGUGCUGCAUGGUUGUCGUCAGCUCGUGCCGUGAGGUGUCGGCUUAAGUGCCAUAACGAGCGCAACCCUUAUAUCCAGUUACCAUCAGGUUAUGCUGGGGACUCUGGAUAGACUGCCGUCGUAAGAUGUGAGGAAGGAGGGGAUGACGUCAAAUCAGCACGGCCCUUACGUCCGGGGCUACACACGUGUUACAAUGGGGGGUACAGCAGGCCGCUACCUGGCGACAGGAUGCCAAUCUCCAAAACCCCUCUCAGUUCGGACUGGAGUCUGCAACCCGACUCCACGAAGCUGGAAUCGCUAGUAAUCGCGGAUCAGCACGCCGCGGUGAAUACGUUCCCGGGCCUUGCACACACCGCCCGUCA